GCAAAGCAUUGACUCAGCAGGUAAUAAGGAAGCUGCAGCAAAACAAUUACAUACCAAAGAAUAAGUUGAACCAUUGUAUUUAACUUCUCUCACCAACAAAUGGGUUCGGAAGGUCCUUCAGUAGUAACUGUUCAUGUUACCGGAUUCAAGAAAUUUCAUGGUGUGUCGGAGAACCCCACAGAGAGAAUUGCCAGCAACCUGAAGGAAUUUAUGCAGAAAAAUGGGUUACCAAAUGGUCUUGUUCUUGGUAGUUGCAAUGUUCUUGAGAGUGCUGGACAGGGGGCAAUUUCUCAGCUCUACAAAAUAUUGGAGUCAUCUGUGGUUGGACAUGACAGUCAAUCUCUGAAUGGCGGGCAGAUCAUUUGGCUCCAUCUUGGAGUUAAUAGUGGAGCAUCGAGAUUUGCUGUUGAGAAUCAAGCAGUUAAUGAAGCUACUUUCCGAUGCCCUGAUGAGUUUGGGUGGAAGCCUCAGAGAUUGCCAAUUAUACCUUCUGAUGGGGUCAUUUCACGAACAAGAGAGACUUCUCUUCCUGCCAAUGAAAUUUCCAAGUCCUUGGCCAAGAUGGGAUAUGAUGUGAUUCCUUCUGACGAUGCGGGUCGCUUUGUAUGCAACUAUGUGUACUAUCAUUCUCUCCGGUUCGCAGAGCAACAUGGGAUCAAAUCUCUGUUUGUGCAUGUCCCUCUCUUCCUGACAAUCAACGAAGAAACCCAGAUGCGGUUUGUCGCUUCCCUUCUAGAGGUGCUCGCCUCUCUGCAUUAGGCGCGUUCUACCGAGUGUUGUAAUGGUGCAGAGUUCUUGAAGGUAUAAUCAGCUGGUGCAGAGUAAAACAACACAGAGCCAUUGGAUUGGUUCUGAU
RNAcentral lists this unclassified non-coding RNA (856 nucleotides) under Hevea brasiliensis (rubber tree). The record is from RNAcentral. Lineage: Eukaryota; Viridiplantae; Streptophyta; Magnoliopsida; Malpighiales; Euphorbiaceae.